GCUCCAGAUGAGGUGAUGGCAACGGCCAACUUCGGCAAGAUCCAGAUCGGGAUUUACGUGGAGAUCAAGCGCAGCGAUGGCCGAAUACAUCAAGCAAUGGUAACAUCUUUAAAUGAAGAUAAUGAAAGUGUAACUGUUGAAUGGAUAGAAAAUGGAGAUACAAAAGGCAAAGAGAUUGACCUGGAGAGCAUCUUUUCACUUAACCCUGACCUUGUUCCUGAUGAAGAAAUUGAACCCAGUCCAGAAACACCUCCACCUCCAGCAUCCUCAGCCAAAGUAAACAAAAUUGUAAAGAAUCGACGGACUGUAGCUUCUAUUAAGAAUGACCCUCCUCCAAGAGAUAAUAGAGUGGUUGGUUCAGCACGUGCACGGCCCAGUCAGUUUCCUGAACAGUCUUCCUCUGCACAACAGAAUGGUAGUGUUUCAGAUAUAUCUCCAGUUCAAGCUGCAAAAAAGGAAUUUGGACCCCCUUGUAUGUAAAUUAUGUAUCAAGGAUUUAGUCAUUUUAGGCAUACAUGCAUUCUCUCUUGGUCAUCCUUUUAAGUCCUCAAAGAGUAAACACUCUAAAUACAAGCUUGAUUGCAGAUUUCAUUUUACCACUGUGGAAAAUUUAACUUCUUUUUAGUAGUCUGUUAAUUGGGUUUUUUAAAGUAUAUUUUGGAGCAAAAAUUUUUUUGUGAAAUUAUAGCAAUGUUUCAGUUUGAGUUUAAAAUUCUGGGCAGAUGAUAAUUUGUCAGAUGUUACAGAAGAAUGUGUUGUGCUCCUUGAUUCUUUGAAUUAAAA
Molecule: small RNA, 783 nt
Filed under: Pan troglodytes (chimpanzee)
Lineage: Eukaryota; Metazoa; Chordata; Mammalia; Primates; Hominidae
Description: retained intron
Source: RNAcentral